UCUGCUAUGACCAUACCACCCUGACCAUGCCUGAUCUCAUCUGAUCUCAGAAGCUAAGUAGGGUUGGGACUGGCACAAAAGAAUGGUGGCCAGCUGAAGAAUGGAGUCUGCAGAG
This 115-nucleotide ribosomal RNA is filed under the name Jaculus jaculus (lesser Egyptian jerboa). Lineage: Eukaryota; Metazoa; Chordata; Mammalia; Rodentia; Dipodidae. The record is from RNAcentral.